GCCAUACCUGCAGCAUAUGGAGGUUGCCAGGCUAGGGGUCAAACUGGAGCUACAGCCACCUGCCUACACCACAGCCACAGGAGCAUCAGAUCCAAGCCACGUCUGCGACCUACACCACAGCUCACGGCAACGCUGGAUCCUUAACACACUGAGCGAGACCAGGGAUUGAACCUGCAUCCUCAUGGAUACUAGUUGGGUUCAUUCAUGCUGAGCUACGACAACAAUGCUCAAGGGCAUGGAGGAAGGAGGAGGGAGAGAGGGAAAGGGGAGAGAGAAGAGGAGGGAGACUGAGGGAGCACAAAGGAGAGAGAGGAGAAGGCACAGAGAGAGAAACACCUUUUCAGAAACAUGGGCCUGUGGUCCACGCAACCUCCUGCUCAACCUGCUGUAGGCCUGUGACGAAUGGGCCGGUUCAGAGGUAACCUUACCUGUGGGGCAGAGUGACUUCCAAAACAAGCGCCAUUUAGACAGACCCCAGGCAGUGUUUACGCCCGGAAGGUAUUUAUUCAGUAACUGAAUUUCCCUAAUACACAGUGUCUGUGUGCGAGGGGUCUGCUUUCACACUUGCUUGGCACCUGCCACCUGUAACAUCUCUGAAACAUAAAGAGCCUGGAGUUUGCUUGGGCGUUUGGCCAGCACAUACACAGGACCAGCACUGGGGAGUCCCUGCUGAACAAGAGCAGGGGAAGGGCCCAACUAAGAGAAGGCAGGUGCGCCUGUGCUGGCGGGCAUUGGCUAUUUCUGCUCUCACAGGUGGGCUCGCCAAAAAAACCAGCCUCGAAAUUUUGGAUCAGUUCUUUUAGUGGGGAUGGGCAAAGGUAAGACUCGCACCCAUCGCCCACCCCCGCACCGUUCUGUGUGUAUUUUAGUCACUGCAGGGAGUGGGGAGGGAGAGAGAAGCUGUCCGCCCAGUAAUUUUGUGGCUAUAGGAUAGGUAGGUAAGUGGGUAGUUAGUAAGGAUAAAAAUGUAAGUAGGUAGUUGGUAAGGAUAAACAGAUAGGUAGGUAGUUAGUAAGGAUAGUUAGGUAAAUAGGUAGCUGGUAAGGAUAAACAAGUAGGUAGUUGUAAGGAUAGUUAGGUAAGUAGGCACGUAGGAGGGAUCUCAAAACCACUUACUCCCUAAAGGGCCAGAUGGCUCAAAGCAAGCAAAAAAGAUGUGGGCUCAGAAGGCAAAGUCCGCAUCCAGAAGCUCCUGCAUUUCACCCCCGGCAGGAAGAGCCCUGAACGUGUCUGCCUCCCUGAUCACGCAGCUCAACAAGUUCGGUGACCAGCCGUGGAUUACUAGAGAGGACAGGUGAGUUACUUUUGUGAAAAGCUGAAAGCCUUCUUUGGGGUCAGGACUGGCAGGGGGCGGGAUGUGAUCAAAACCCAGGCGGGAGGGGGCGUUUAGGGCGGGUUAAGACCCCACGGAGCGCAGCGCGAGGGCGCCUGAGCUCAGCCCUGCCUGCCUUUAUAAUCCCUGACACUAGACGCCACCCUCUUCAACGACCGCCCGCCCGAAAGGAGAAAAGAAAGAGACAACGCCACACAUGAAACCCCUCGACACACGGCCCCAAAGCCACAAGGAAGGGAAUGAAAAGGAACGCUGAGCAUCAGAAAGAGCGACACAAGCAUGUGCAGGAAACCCGGACCUUCCGUGGGAGAUGUGCUGGCUCAGGUAACAGGUAGAGUCAAGCGGGACAGGUUGGCAGGUUCCGUAGCACCAGGAGCAAGGUGGGAGCUCAAGGUGGAAGGGACGUGGACUCAAGUGUGGGAAAGGCUGGGACUGCAGAGUCCAGCAGCGCCGGCUCAGAGGCGGGCUCCACGCCCGGGGGCCACCGUACCACCUGCCUAAGGCUCCCUCCCAGUGAGGCUGACCUUGAGGAUGGCCAGAGACCACGCAAGUGCCAGGCAGGUGGCCGGCCCGAGCAGGCACGUCGCCACCCCCACUAUUGUGGCUGUUACUGUUAUUCCAGGCGUCAGGCAGCUUUUAAGAGGCCAGCAGAACAGUGAGCCUUUGAGAUGUGUUUACUUCCUUCUCUGUUUCCCAACUGUGGUCUCUCCUGCCCUCAAACAGAACUAAGAAAGGGACAAGCUUAUGCCACAGUCCUCCAAGAAGGGACAAAGUAAAAGUGAGUUGCAGCCACAUGUGUGAUUAACCGCACAUCCCAAAUGGCCCUGCCCGCCAAGAAGCUUGGAGCCAAAUUUCAAAUUCCACAUACCAACCCCAUUAACCCGUACGGCUAACAAACGACACUUUUCUAACAACCUACAUCUCCCUUUUGUCCUCGUUUUGCAUUUCUGCUUACACUGUUGGAAUGUCUAUUGUUAGAAGCCCAUCCCAAAUCCUUUUUUUUUUUUUUGGAAUGAAGCAGAGAAUAAGUAAAUACAUAAAGAAUGAAGGAUUCUGAGCUUUCUGCCGGGUGAGGAUCAAAUUAUUAAACCUGGCCCCCUUCCCAUGGCAGUGGGUCCUCCCAGAUGCACACUGCACCCCUCCAGCCAAUCGCUGGCACGCCCAUAAACAGUCACUUCUUUAAGGUCAAAACAAAUACAUAAAUUUAAACGCCCAUAUCUUUUAUACACACACAUGCUGCUAACUAAGGGCUUUUCCUAAUAACCAAGCAGUUGCACGGCAAAGAGAAAAAAAAGCAGCAUCUCCAACAACAAAAAAAGCAGGUCACAAUAAAAAUUAGAGGAGAGGACACAAAAUUGUUGCCAUUCCAGCAACUAAGGAAAGUAUGUAUCUGUUAACACGCCAUCAGCGGUGUGUAACCCUUCUCAGGAAUCGGGAAACACCCAGAGGGACCAGACUGGGGCAGGGUGGGGUGGGGGUCGAGGGAGAGGACAGGGAAGGAAGCGGGGGGCGGGGGGGACUUUGCCGUUAAAGGGCACCGGGGUGUUGGUUUUUAGAGAAUGAAAACGAUGACACCUGCUCCCUUAUUCUAGACGACGAGGCUGAACUCUCAGGGCUAUUUAUCCUCUUCCGCCUUCCUCAGUCUUCUUCCCGUUUCCUGCUCACUUCCAGGGCUAUCGUUUCCCAAACCGAUGGUCACCCAUGAGAGGUGUGGGCUCGGAUGGAAAAUCCCCAACUACAAGUCUGUCCUGAGGUGAACCCAGCAGGCAGGUCAACGGCAAAACCACGCUUUGGCACCGAGGGCGUGGGGUCUGUUAUUGCAGCAAGUAUGUUUCUGAUGCAAAUUCCCUGAUGACCCAGCAAAUUGUUUAUCUAACUUAAACGUAACUGUUUCCCCAAAGUCGGUCAACCUGCGGCGUUAUUCCUUCCAGGUGUAGGCUCUGUCACCUCCUCCCCACAGGAAAAGCUGCAGCCUCUCCUCUGCUGGGAGACUUAAGGCGCCUGGGGGGUAGGAAUUCAGUGAGAAGGGGUGAUUUAUAAUAGAUCUGAAUGCUGAUCUGCACCAAUAACAAGCCGGGGGUGGGGUGGGGUGGGGGUGAAGGGGCCAGGGUUGAUUUAGUGAUCCCCUCGCAUGGAAGGAGGACCUUAUGACAAACAACUGCCUCGGUCACAGGAGUCAAAGCAGUUAUGGCCUGGAGCCAGCAGGGCAUUCUUUUCUCAUGUAUAAACAACAUUUAUCAUUUCAUCUCGAAAAAUAUUUGCCCUUAAUAUUUGGUAGAGACGCACGCAAAGGCUGCCUCUGGUCCUCCCACUAAUACCCCCCUAGAGCCAAGUGGUUGGGAUGUUUUUUAGCACAGACCAUACAUAAUAGCAUCUCUACCCAAAGCAACUUAUCCACUGAGAAUAUCAGCAAAAAGAGUUGGGUGGGUUUAGGUUGGAGGAGGAAGCCAUCUUCGUUUUCAAAAAAAAAAAAAAAUAGAUACAGUUAAGGUAAAUUUUAUGGGUAAUUAGAAUGAGGUUGAAUCUCAACUUUACUGAGAUCAAAUUCACAUGCCAUCAAAUUCACCCAUUUCAAGUACAAUUCAAUGGUCUUUAGUAUAUUCACAUUUACCACUGGUAUUCCGUAUAUUCACAUGCAACUGUGAAACCAUCACUACAGUUUGUAAUUUUAGAACCUUUCUGUUCCCUCCCCCCAAAUAAAACUCUGUGCUUAUGAACAGUCAGCUCCCAUUUCUCUCUUUUUCCCCCAACAACCUCUGGUUUACUUUCCAUCCCUCUAAAUUUGCCUGUUCUGGACAUUUCAUACAUAUGGAGUCAGGCAGGAUCUGUCUUCUGCGUCUGUCUUCUUUCACUCAGCCUAACAUUUUCAGGCUGCAGCCCGUCUGCGUGUUUCAUUCCUUUUUGUUGCCGAAUAACCUCCACCGGAUGCCCGGGCUGCGUGGCUUCAUCCACUCCUCAGCUGAUGGACGUCCGAGUGCUCCCUCUCUUCCGCUCCCACGAACAUCCACAGACACGUUUUUGUGGGGACACGUUUUCCUUCCCCUUGGGUAUGUACUUCGGGGUAGAAUCCCG
RNAcentral lists this long non-coding RNA (4405 nucleotides) under Sus scrofa (pig). RNAcentral describes it as "lncRNA (ENSSSCG00040028886.1)". The record is from RNAcentral. Lineage: Eukaryota; Metazoa; Chordata; Mammalia; Artiodactyla; Suidae.